GCAGCGGAGCGCUCAGCUCAAAACGGGAGGAGGUGGAGAUUUAUUUCUGCCUUGCCCAUUAGUCGGGAAAGCUGUAUGUUGCUGCUGCUGCCAGUUUUGAUCGGCAGGUAUUUUCGAUAUUCUCCCUUUUACGAGGUUGGUUGUGAAGUGGGCGAGAGGCUGAUGCAUUGCUGAGUGAUGUCCAAAACCACAGGGAAAAGACCAGCCAAUUCUGAAAGAGUCGCAUUUUCAGAUCCUGCAAAACGGGACCAAGAUUAAGAAGUAGGUCCAGGAACAGCAGCAACAUUGCUUAAAAAUGUCAAAACAUUGUAGUCAGCUGGGACUGGAGUCAACCACUAAUCCAACAGAGAAGAUUGCUGCUCCAUCUACAACUUGUGCCAGACUCUGCAUGGAAGCUGUCAGCUGUCAGCUGAAAUCAGUGUGAAGGAAAGGCAGGUGAUCUAGAAAAUGAAAGUUUCUCUCGCUGCUGAAUUCAGAAUGAAGGGAAAUUAAUGCUCUUGCUGCUGUUUCUCCAGGGACUAAGAUUUUCACCAAUAAAUGUUCCAAUUACAGCUAUGAAGAUGAACACAGAGACACGCAAAGAAACUGGAGCAUCAUCGCCAAAAUGAAACUGUGAAUGAGGAGGUCCUACUUCAACCUCAGAUGCAGCAUUUCCCUGCUGCCCCAUUGCAACCUGCCAAGGUUGAAAGAUAAGCCUCAAAAACUGGAAUUGGCCAAGAUUCAUGGAUCUCUGAGAAUAACAGAACAACAGAGUUGGAAGGAAUCUUGGAGGGUCUUGUAGUCCAACCUCCUGCUGAAGCAGGAAAGCCUAUUCAAUUUCAG
Crotalus tigris (Tiger rattlesnake) is the source of this 822-nucleotide long non-coding RNA. RefSeq lists it as uncharacterized. NCBI's taxonomy places the organism in Eukaryota, Metazoa, Chordata, Lepidosauria, Squamata, Viperidae. The record is from RefSeq and is a predicted model, not a curated record. The transcript is spliced from 5 exons.